AACGAACGCUGGCGGCGUGCCUAACACAUGCAAGUCGAACGGAACCAGGGGGCUUGCUCCUUGGUUUAGUGGCGCACGGGUGAGUAACGCGUGGAUAAUCUGCCCUGGUAUCCGGGAUAACAUUUCGAAAGGAGUGCUAAUACCGGAUAAGCCCACGGGGUCUUCGGACCUUGCGGGAAAAGGUGGCCUCUGAAUAUGCUACUGUAUCAGGAUGAGUCCGCGUCCCAUUAGCUAGUUGGCGGGGUAAUGGCCCACCAAGGCAUCGAUGGGUAGCUGGUCUGAGAGGAUGAUCAGCCACACUGGAACUGAGACACGGUCCAGACUCCUACGGGAGGCAGCAGUGGGGAAUUUUGCGCAAUGGGGGAAACCCUGACGCAGCAACGCCGCGUGAGUGAUGAAGGCCUUCGGGUCGUAAA
This 416-nucleotide ribosomal RNA is filed under the name uncultured bacterium. RNAcentral's name for it is "bacterial SSU rRNA". It matches the Rfam family "Bacterial small subunit ribosomal RNA", at positions 29 to 429 of the family's 1533-position model. The record is from RNAcentral.